AGUAACGGCGAGUGAAGCGGUAAUAGCUCAAAUUUGAAAUCUGGCCUCUCGGGGUCCGAGUUGUAAUUUGUAGAGGAUGUUUUGGGUACCGCCCCGGUCUAAAUUUCUUGGAACAGAAUGUCAAAGAGGGUGAGAAUCCCGUCUUGGACCGGCGGUAGGGCCUGUGUAAAACUCCUUCGACGAGUCGAGUUGUUUGGGAG
Molecule: ribosomal RNA, 200 nt
Filed under: Cladophialophora sp.
Lineage: Eukaryota; Fungi; Ascomycota; Eurotiomycetes; Chaetothyriales; Herpotrichiellaceae
Description: partial large subunit ribosomal RNA
Rfam family: Eukaryotic large subunit ribosomal RNA
Source: RNAcentral